GACGAACGCUGGCGGCGUGCUUAACACAUGCAAGUCGAACGGAAAGUGCUCUUCGGAGUGACUCGAGUGGCGAACGGGUGAGUAACACGUGGGUGAUCUGCCCUGCACUUCGGGAUAAGCCUGGGAAACUGGGUCUAAUACCGGAUAGGACCUCGGGAUGCAUGUCCUGUGGUGGAAAGCUUUUGCGGUGUGGGAUGGGCCCGCGGCCUAUCAGCUUGUUGGUGGGGUGAUGGCCUACCAAGGCGACGACGGUAGCCGGCCUGAGAGGGUGACCGGCCACACUGGGACUGAGAUACGGCCCAGACUCCUACGGGAGGCAGCAGUGGGGAAUAUUGCACAAUGGGCGCAAGCCUGAUGCAGCGACGCCGCGUGAGGGAUGACGGCCUUCGGGUUGUAAACCUCUUUCAGCAUCGACGAAGCGCAAGUGACGGUAGGUGCAGAAGAAGGACCGGCCAACUACGUGCCAGCCGCCGCCGUAA
RNAcentral lists this ribosomal RNA (479 nucleotides) under uncultured bacterium. Its description in RNAcentral is "partial 16S ribosomal RNA". It matches the Rfam family "Bacterial small subunit ribosomal RNA", at positions 28 to 523 of the family's 1533-position model. The record is from RNAcentral.